RNAcentral lists this ribosomal RNA (253 nucleotides) under uncultured bacterium. RNAcentral's name for it is "partial 16S ribosomal RNA". It matches the Rfam family "Bacterial small subunit ribosomal RNA", at positions 524 to 776 of the family's 1533-position model. The record is from RNAcentral.
UACAGAGGGUGCGAGCGUUAAUCGGAAUGACUGGGCGUAAAGGGUGCGUAGGUGGUUUUAUAAGUGUGUUGUGAAAGCCCCGGGCUUAACCUGGGAAUGGCAACGCAUACUGUAGGACUAGAGUCGGUGAGAGGCGUGUGGAAUUUCCGGUGUAGCGGUGAAAUGCGUAGAGAUCGGAAAGAACACCGGUGGCGAAGGCGGCACGCUGGUACCAGACUGACACUGAGGCACGAAGGCGUGGGGAUCAAACAGG